ACAUAGCAAACAAGUGCGUUAGGGAUUGUAGCGGCAUCCUUUUUAAAAUUUGAUAGUUAUUUAACAAAGUGAGAAACUGAUAUUUGGCAGAUGGCUUCGUCCUUCGUCCUCGCCAUGACGUUUUAAAAAGAUAUAGCGAAAAGCCCGACCCUAU
RNAcentral lists this small RNA (154 nucleotides) under Mariniflexile fucanivorans. RNAcentral describes it as "Flavo-1 RNA". It matches the Rfam family "Flavo-1 RNA". Lineage: Bacteria; Pseudomonadati; Bacteroidota; Flavobacteriia; Flavobacteriales; Flavobacteriaceae. The record is from Rfam by way of RNAcentral.